Long non-coding RNA from Prinia subflava (tawny-flanked prinia), 487 nucleotides. RefSeq lists it as uncharacterized. The record is from RefSeq and is a predicted model, not a curated record. The transcript is spliced from 2 exons. NCBI's taxonomy places the organism in Eukaryota, Metazoa, Chordata, Aves, Passeriformes, Cisticolidae.
CCCUGCCCGGCCCUACCUGGGCACCCACAGCUCGGGCCGUGCUCUGCAGAGCGCUCCGCGCCCGUCCCGCCGCGCAGGGCCGUGACCAUGGCGAGGGGCGCCGGGGCGGGCAGCGCGGGCUGAGCCCGGGGCCGCCGCCGUCCGGAGCCCUCAGGAGCGCCGGGACCGCGCCGGGCUCGGCUCCGCUGCCCGCCGGCACCGCCAGCUCCUGCCGGGAGAGGGGGAGAGAGCAGCGGCAUCGUCACCGCGGGGCUGCGGACGGCCCCCGGGCAGCGCGGAUUUGGGGUUAUUUCCCUCUCCUUUGCACAGUUUAUCACUGGUGUUCCUUGCACUGAUUCCAUGCCCCAUGGUACGCUGCUGCAGAUGCCAAAGAGAAUUGGGACAGCAUGUGGGAGAGCUGACCUCCUCUCCUGCUCUACAGAAUAUUUCCUUACAACACACCUUAUUAACCCUUACAGUGACAUAAAGCUCUCAGACUAAAAGUUCA